This 2711-nucleotide long non-coding RNA is filed under the name Brassica napus (rape). RNAcentral describes it as "long non-coding RNA (BNAP_LNC012662)". The record is from RNAcentral. Lineage: Eukaryota; Viridiplantae; Streptophyta; Magnoliopsida; Brassicales; Brassicaceae.
GCUCCGUCUCGACUUUAGAUCUGUAACCCUUCACGAGCGUCGCGUGCUCCUCGUUCUUCCUGCUCUCUUCCUUCUGCUCGAUCGACGACACGAUCCUCCACGCGGCGCGUAGAGAUCCGAUCACGUUCUUGUAGGCUACCGAGAGGAGGUUUCUUUCCUCCACGGUGAGCUCUGACGAUGGAGUGGCGCCGCCUGUGACGAGCUGCUCCAUGAAUUGGACCAUUUCUUCGUAGCGCUCGGCUUGCUCGGCGAGCUUCGCCAUGUAGACGUACUGGUCUCUGCCUAGUGUCGCCGCCGCCAUUGGAGAGAGAGAGAGAAUGUGAAGAGAGGUUUUAAUUUUCUUCAUUCUUACGAAGUAAUGAAAAAUCUAAUCAUAAUUUCAUCCUCCUUUUAAAAUGUUAUUAUAAAUUUACAACUUUUAUCCAAGUGGUUUUACAAAUCAUCAUAUUCUCCUUCAUGUCCGUUCAAACUUGUCUAUAAUAUGUUUAGAUUUAUCAAAAUUUAUCAUCAAAUCUCAGGCUGUGUGGCCGCCAGAGAGGCUCAUGUAUAGACAUUUGGGUAUUGAUAGAAGUUAUCUUAGAUGUACUGGUCUAGUGGAAUCGAUUAAUCAUCUUCUUUUUAAAUGUCCGUCAACUCUUCGGAUUUGGAUUUUAUCGGACUAUUCGUCUUUUCCGGAUUACUUCCCUAGUACAUCUAUAUAUCAAAAGAUGAACUUCCUGUUUUGGAAUAUAUGCUCCAAAUAUGUAUUUAUUUUACAACUGUAUACAAAUUAUACAAUCUUCAGUGUCUUGCCUCUGAAUUUGAGAUCUACCAUUUGUUAACGCGCACGCUUGCUUUUUGUGCCAAUUUUGAGAAAAACGACGAAACAAUUGCAUGAAAUAAACCAUAUACGUGAACGAAAGUAAUAAAAUUGCAUUACCUCUUUGUCCCAGUCACAUCUCGUAACAAUAAAAAUCAAUAUCAAUGUCUGAAUCGCAGUUCCUCCGAAUAUCAUACCAGCCCAAAUGCCCUAUAACAUAAAAUCACAAUAUAUUAUAUAUAGAGAUAAAUCAGCCUUCAAAUCUUGAGUUUAUUAAAAAAUCUGGCGUUUACCUUGACACCAAACUUGAAAAUCCAUCCCAUGACAAAUCCAAGUGGAAGACCCGAUGAAAUAAUAGCAUACCAAAUUUAUAUAUGCCACGAAUGAUUGCCAACCCGAACCAAUCGCAACACCUAAUCAAAAAUCAAAAAUCACUUCGGUUUAUUAUGGAAUGACAAAUAAAUUAAUUUUGUUUCGUAGCGUACCAGAAAGAACCGGUUGGACACUGUUAAGAAGAAUAGUAAAGGCUAAAAGGAUAGAGAGAGAUCAGUGACUGCCUUUAUGACGGUUUCACUUGAAGAGAAGAUCCAACCGAUUUGAUCAUGAAGAAAUACUACAAGAACCGAAAAUAUUAAACCAGUAAUCAACGAUUCUAUCACUGAUAUGAUCAUUGCAAAUCUUGCUCUUCUUCCAUUGCCUGCUCCUAAUUCAUUAGCUCCGGAAGUGGCGUAAGUAAAUAAGAUGAAGGCAUUGAGACACCAAGACACGUUAACAGUAGCCAUGGUCCCUACGACUCCGAGUCUAAGACGAUAUACAAAAAGCCAGCACACAAAUAAGUGAACUACAAGUGCCACUCCAGAAGAAACGACAACCACCUGAUUGAUAGUAGCGUUAGUCAGAGAAAUAUCAAAUAGUUUACCAAACACUAGUAUAUAAUAUCAAAAUCAUAUUAAGUCAUUAUAUUUUGGAGCAAAUUAUUAUUACUAAAACAAGCAAUCAAAUAAUGAUGGGUAAUUCUCUCAAAUAAAUAUUUUUAAAAUUUUAUCGUAAAAAUAAUCCUCAAAAAAUAAAAUGACCAAAAUAGUUAAAAAGAAAAAAAAUUUGAACUCAUCCACAAAACCCAACUCUUUAACUUUAAACACUAAGUCUUAGAUUAGUUAACCCUAAAAGCAUUCCUAUUAGUGUAACCUGUUUGGCCAUGUUACAAGCUUUGUCUGAAGAAUUAAGAAUCUCAUAGUAAAACACCGAGAAAUUCAAAGCAAGACCAAGCCUUAUUGGAUGAGUAGGCGCCAUAUCAGCAGCCGCAAUAUCCUUCAGACAAAACAUUCACAUCAAAACCAGACACACAUAAGUCAAACAUCAGUUUGGUAAUAACAAACAAACAAACAAAAGAAUCAAACUUUUUUUCACCUGAGCUGCCUUAUAAGCACCCAUAGUAUCCUCAGCAGCAGCUUUCCUCUCCUCCCCAGACUUAAACUCCGCCAUGUACCGAUGAUAAUCCCCCUUCAUCUUCAAAUAAAACACCUUCGACUCGCUCGCCGCCGCGGAGGGAAUCAGAUGCGAAUCAAGAAGCUUUAGUAUCCCUUCGCAGACGGAGGAAAGCUCCGUCUCGACUUUAGAUCUGUAACCCUUCACGAGCGUCGCGUGCUCCUCGUUCUUCCUGCUCUCUUCCUUCUGCUCGAUCGACGACACGAUCCUCCACGCGGCGCGUAGAGAUCCGAUCACGUUCUUGUAGGCUACCGAGAGGAGGUUUCUUUCCUCCACGGUGAGCUCUGACGAUGGAGUGGCGCCGCCUGUGACGAGCUGCUCCAUGAAUUGGACCAUUUCUUCGUAGCGCUCGGCUUGCUCGGCGAGCUUCGCCAUGUAGACGUACUGGUCUCUGCCUAGUGUCGCCGCCGCCAUUGGAGAGAGA